Molecule: unclassified non-coding RNA, 22 nt
Filed under: Mus musculus (house mouse)
Lineage: Eukaryota; Metazoa; Chordata; Mammalia; Rodentia; Muridae
Description: oocyte_clustered_small_RNA12569
Source: RNAcentral
UGGUGACCUCGACCUUGACCCC